AAGUCGUAACAAGGUUUCCGUAGGUGAACCUGCGGAAGGAUCAUUAACAAAUCAUGUGCUAGCCUCGGCUAGUAACAUUAACCCUUAGGCCUUGGUGCUUCGGCACACGGGCCUUUGGUUCGGGUCGCAAGACCCAACAUAGACGCUUGUAUGUUUGACAGUAUUAGUUGACACUCAAAAUGACAACUUUUAACAAUGGAUCUCUUGGCUCUU
This 213-nucleotide unclassified non-coding RNA is filed under the name fungal sp. Its description in RNAcentral is "partial internal transcribed spacer region". The stretch from base 1 to 46 matches the Rfam family "Eukaryotic small subunit ribosomal RNA", at positions 1786 to 1831 of the family's 1831-position model. The record is from RNAcentral. Lineage: Eukaryota; Fungi.